AGCUGCAUAUGGAAAAAGAUUUGAUGGGUUCCUCAUCCCAUCUUAUAGAUAAACAUCAACAUUUUAUUAAAUGGAUUGAGAUGUUAGAAAAUAUAUGAUUAUUGUCUAUUGACCCAUGAUAUAAUCUAACUCUAUAGGUAUUAGAACCAUGUUUAUAUCUGGACUACUUGACUGUAAUUUAACAUAUUAGCCGAUCUUGUAUAGAGUUUCUAAUGCUAAUAACUCAACUUUUGAUGCAAUAGUAAUGUUUGCCAUAUCUGGUUACAAUUAACAGCACUAUCAAAUUUAU
Non-coding RNA from Pelobates cultripes (western spadefoot toad), 289 nucleotides. Lineage: Eukaryota; Metazoa; Chordata; Amphibia; Anura; Pelobatidae. The record is from the annotation of a GenBank genome assembly.